GAUGAACGCUGGCGGCAUGCCUAACACAUGCGAGUCGAUCGGUAAGGCUCUUCGGAGUACACGAGAGGCGGACGGCUGAGUAACGCGUAGGAACACACCCUGCAGUGAGGGAUAAGACACCGAAAGGUGUUCUAAUACCGCAUACGGUCUUCGGAUUAAAGCAUUUAUGCGCUGAAGGAGUGGCCUGCGUCAUAUUAGAUAGUUGGUGAGGUAAUGGCUCACCAAGCCGAUGAUGUGUAGCUGGUCUGAGAGGAUGAUCAGCCAGACUGGAACUGAGACACGGUCCAGACUCCUACGGGAGGCAGCAGUGAGGAAUAUUUCACAAUGAGCGAAAGCUUGAUGGAGCAAUGCCGCGUGCAGGAUGAAGGCCCUCGGGUUGUAAACUGCUUUUAUAAGAGAAGAUUAUGACGGUAACUUAUGAAUAAGGGACGGCUAACUACGUG
RNAcentral lists this ribosomal RNA (443 nucleotides) under uncultured bacterium. RNAcentral's name for it is "partial 16S ribosomal RNA". It matches the Rfam family "Bacterial small subunit ribosomal RNA", at positions 28 to 507 of the family's 1533-position model. The record is from RNAcentral.